GGCCUCCUGUGUUACUUUGUGUUGCACUUGCUGCAUUCGCAGUAAUAGGGAUUACUGAUGCAGGACCUGCAAUUGGAAUGACCUUUCCUACCGAACUUCCAUUUUGUUGUGUGUGCCUCGAUAUGACGAUUCCAUGUCCUUGCCAUCAUCCAUUCUGUAGAAUAAACCCUUUCUGGAGAGGGUAAAAGAAUGGAUGAAAAUGACAAGCAGAAAGAUGAAUUUGGAAAUUUCUCUUUGUUGAAAUAAAUAACAUCAAAAUUUCA
This is a long non-coding RNA of Saccostrea echinata, 263 nucleotides long. RefSeq lists it as uncharacterized. NCBI's taxonomy places the organism in Eukaryota, Metazoa, Mollusca, Bivalvia, Ostreida, Ostreidae. The transcript has 3 exons. The record is from RefSeq and is a predicted model, not a curated record.